This 140-nucleotide small nucleolar RNA is filed under the name Ochotona princeps (American pika). RNAcentral's name for it is "Small nucleolar RNA SNORA74 (ENSOPRG00000023958.1)". The record is from RNAcentral. Lineage: Eukaryota; Metazoa; Chordata; Mammalia; Lagomorpha; Ochotonidae.
CCCAGCUGUAGGCAACUGCCUAGGUUGUAUUGUACUUAACGAGUGUUACAUGGCUGGGAGAAAGCAGCUAAUAGCUGGCAGGCAUUCUGGGCCUGGUUAACACUAAAUUGGUGUUAACUAUACCAGUGUGCCAGCAUAAU